AUCGCUUCUCGGCCUUUUGGCUAAGAUCAAGUGUAGUAUCUGUUCUUAUCAAUUUAAUAUCUGAUACGUUCUCUAUCCUAUAACAAAUGAAUCUAGUAACUACAGGAUGAAAUAAAAUUUUUUAAAUUAACAUAUAAUGUAUUACUUGCCCCCAGGGGUACAGGUCUGUGAAU
RNAcentral lists this small nuclear RNA (173 nucleotides) under Neogale vison (American mink). RNAcentral describes it as "Neovison vison (American mink) U2 spliceosomal RNA (ENSNVIG00000009860.1)". It matches the Rfam family "U2 spliceosomal RNA". From Rfam's summary of the family: U2 is a small nuclear RNA (snRNA) component of the spliceosome (involved in pre-mRNA splicing). Complementary binding between U2 snRNA (in an area lying towards the 5' end but 3' to hairpin I) and the branchpoint sequence (BPS) of the intron results the bulging out of an unpaired adenosine, on the BPS, which initiates a nucleophilic attack at the intronic 5' splice site, thus starting the first of two transesterification reactions that mediate splicing. The record is from RNAcentral. Lineage: Eukaryota; Metazoa; Chordata; Mammalia; Carnivora; Mustelidae.